Neogale vison (American mink) is the source of this 392-nucleotide long non-coding RNA. RefSeq lists it as uncharacterized. NCBI's taxonomy places the organism in Eukaryota, Metazoa, Chordata, Mammalia, Carnivora, Mustelidae. The transcript is spliced from 4 exons. The record is from RefSeq and is a predicted model, not a curated record.
ACUUUCUCAUGGGAAAGGACUAGGCUCACAGGAAAACAGAAGAAAGGAGACAACAGCAGCUGCACAUGGUCUGGUUGGGAGGAUAAAAUGGCGUGUGGAAGCUGUCAGCCUCCCUGUCUGGAGCCGAAUGUCUCCCCUGGCUGCUGGGUGCCAGAGAAAGACCGGUGACCUGGGAGCCGGGGGCCUGGUACAAAUCGUGUUCCUCCCGAGGCCUCAGUUUCCCCCCUGCCCCAGCGAGAGGCUGGGCUGAAUGACAUGAACGCCCUUCUGGUUUCCACGCCACCUGCCACGCUCCAGCUAUGGAAACACAUUCAUCAUUUUGUCUCCAGAAGCCUGGAAUCUGCUUUAGAGAAAACGCUCCCCAAAUGGUUAUUGAAUGAAUGAGUGAUGAC